Molecule: transfer RNA, 85 nt
Organism: Felis catus (domestic cat)
Lineage: Eukaryota; Metazoa; Chordata; Mammalia; Carnivora; Felidae
Rfam family: tRNA
About the family: Transfer RNA (tRNA) molecules are approximately 80 nucleotides in length. Their secondary structure includes four short double-helical elements and three loops (D, anti-codon, and T loops). Further hydrogen bonds mediate the characteristic L-shaped molecular structure. tRNAs have two regions of fundamental functional importance: the anti-codon, which is responsible for specific mRNA codon recognition, and the 3' end, to which the tRNAs corresponding amino acid is attached (by aminoacyl-tRNA synthetases). tRNAs cope with the degeneracy of the genetic code in two manners: having more than one tRNA (with a specific anti-codon) for a particular amino acid; and 'wobble' base-pairing, i.e. permitting non-standard base-pairing at the 3rd anti-codon position.
Source: Rfam
GCGUGGGUGGCUCAGUCGGUUAAGCAUCUGACUUCAGAUCAGAUCAUGAUCUCAUGGUUUGUGAGUUUGAGCCCCACAUCAGGCU